CCAAAGUCUUGGCUUGUUACAUUAAACAUUUUUGUUCAGUUUUGUUUCACGCCACCUUCUUGAAAAGUCUCUAUGGACCUUUCUCAAUUAGAAGUGCAGUAUUUAUUUAAGCACUGUCAGAAGUAUUCUGAGCAGCCAAAGCUGACAACACAGAAAUUAGAUCAGGUUGUCUGACUUCGGAGGGGAUAUUUCUUCUGAAAGUGCACACGCUAAUUUAAAUACAUACCCAAACAAAUCAGCCAGACGCUUAACUACACAGCUGCAGACUGUAACACAUUCUGCCAUGACAUAAUUCUAGAAUAUAUUAGCAUCACGCCUAAACAUGCCCAGAUAGGCAAAUAGCUUUGUGCAGGAACAUUUCACAAGGUGUCUUGACAACAAAACAGGAAAAGGGGUGGAGAAAGAUGCAACAACCCAUUUUUCUGUUGCAUCCAGUACAAGCACCAAGAUGACAAGAUUUCUUUGACCUCAGUUCACCCUUGUCUGCUUGAAGAAUCCAAGACUUGUUUUCCCCAUUGUUCGAUGCCAUUCCCUGCUUUGCACAGGUAGAGAUAGGACUGGUUUGCAUAGAAGGGUCCGGCACCUGAGGCUGUAGCAUCAGAUGAUGCUUUACAGUCUUGUGAGUAGUCUGUCACAGAUAUACCGUCAACCACAGAACUUGAUUAUCACCUGAAACACAAAGUUUUCCCCCAGAGUCCAACACAUCCAGUUGCCAGUUAUCAAGUGCCGAGAAAGAAAACAGAUCAAGUGAUGCACCAGCUGCACAUGUGAGCUGGUUCAUCCCCUUGUCAACAUCCUGUGGGCUAUUAAGGGCCAGAUCACACAUGUGUGAUCUCUGUCUCUCAUUACUUCAUAUUGAAUGCAUGGACAGUUUUGUAAGGGCAUAAGCAGAGCUUCGCUUGAUCAAGACAAUGUCCAGAGAGACUAGGCACAGGGUUUCUCAGAGUGGCCAACCAGAACCUUUUGGAAAGCCAGACAAUGUAGCUGCUUCUCUCCUUCCUUAGGAGUAAUGCUAACAUGGAAAAUGAUCAUAUUGUCUUCCUCCCAAAUAAGCAGAGUAGUCCAGAGCCAACAACCACAUGACUCCCAGAAGAUCUGGCCCUAAAUUAGGAGGUUCCAGUUAAAUCAGUGGGACUGCACUUACAAAUAAGUGUGUUUAGUAUCUGAAUGUAAACUUUGCAGAUGUGAAAGACAAAGAUACACUUUGGAAAAAGCUUCUGGCUUUCACCUCCCAUCCCUUGACGAGAGCGCUUUGGCUCUCGCAGCGACAGGGAUCACAAGAUGCGUUCUCCCUACCAUCUCAGCAACAAAGGAUGGACACCCAGACUAAGUGAUGGGCACCCACGGCAGGCAGAGAGUGGCACCCAGCUGUUCAGCAGGCAUGAAGAAGGGAAGGCAAGAAAGGAGGCGCCCAGGCCAGGGGAGAGCAUAACACCGGCCCCCAUAGAGACCAGCUCCGGCCUGUGAGGACUGUUGGGGCAGCCCGUCCCCGCCACCUUCCCAGGAGUACCGGAAAGACGAGUGUGCCCUGAGCGGAAGGCAAGAAAGGAGACGGCCUGGCCAGGGAGCUCUUGCCCUCAGCUCCUGCAAAGACCAACAGCCUGAGACAACGUUUUAUUGAUCUGUUAUUUGCUUCUUUUAAUAUUGUAAACCGCUUUGGGUGCCUUUGUCAAGGCAGAAAGGCGGUAUUAAAAUGUAGUAAAUAAAUAAUACAUAAAUGUAGGUUUUUGAUUUUUCAUAUUGGCUCGUACAUACUCAUCUCUCUGUGUGUGUCCCCUGCCUCCAUCCACACACAAGGCUUCUGGCUUGAGGUCUGUACUCUCAGCACUAACAGCAGCUUAGGCCAUAUCAAGCUGGAUUGCUGCAACUGAUAUAUAAAUGCUGUUAAAUGUUGGUUUCAGAAACCGCCUCCAGGGUUUGUUAAGUGUGUUUCCAAAACAUUGGUCAAGGUCAGCACCCUAGAAUGGAAACUUUGCAGGAUGAACAGUUGAAGCCUAUUGGUGCUGUGAACUGACAAGACAAAGGUUUUGACUGAAAGUAUUCACCAAACCUAUCUUUUAGCGUAAGCAACUUGACUAAUUCAGACACAGAAUUAGCAGGCAUUUACGUUUAGUCUACACAUCCCAUGGUAUCCAAGGGUUGCUGUGCACGUAAUGUUUUGCAUACCUUGAGAUAUAAUCUUUGAAGGGAUUUAAAAAAUCAUGGACACACUGUAUUUUUUAGGGGUGCACAUAUGCAGUUUUAAGUUUGCACUUUAAUGUGAAUUUAUGAACUUGAUACACUCAUAUUUGCAAGUGUGUUUAUCAUACAAGUAUACUUGAUAGGGAGCUGUGAUUGGGUGCAUCCCCUAUGGGAAAUCUAGGGUUUCCUCCAAGUAAUGUGAAAUGGCCAUGAUGCAUAUUUGAAAGUAGGGAUGUGGGACUGAAUUGAUUUUGCAUUCUUUUUUGAGCUUGAAAUGAAAUGCAAAAUGGCCAAAAUGUUCUGUCAAAACAGUGGCCAAGCUGGCUGUUCUGACGGAACAACUUGAAACAUUUUGAGUGUUUCCGCCAUCGGGAACAAUGGGGAACUCCAAACACCCCAUUGUUUCCAUGGGUAGCUCCUAGGGACACCAAAGUGGGUUGUGUGAUAGGGCAUGAUGGUUCCUAUCUGCUACCCACAAAAGAAAUGGGCAAGCAGGCAAUUUUAAACAAUUUUUUAACCUUUCUGCAAAAGCCCAUAGGAUCCUAUGGGGGAAAGGUUAAAAAUUUCUUUAAGAUUAGAUUAAAUGAUUUGGGUCACACACAUGCAUGUCCAGCAUUACGAUGACUAAAGCUGUAGUGAUCAGCCUCCCCUCCCCAUAAAGAGUUAAUAGGGAGUUAAUUCUUGUCUUGACUGACAGGCUGAUGAACUCCAAGGUAGCCAAUCAGUACACCAGGUGGGUGGGACCUAGAGAGCUCUUGCCCGGAAGAAGGGAGUUUUUUUGUUAGAAGCUAGGCUGGAAGUGAAGAGGGGACAUGUGGCAAUGGGGUUUGCUGCAACAGGAUGACUGCAGCUCUUGGAAAAUAGAACUGCAGGGGCCUGAUUCUCAACCAGAGUUUGGUGAGUUUAAGGAAAAAGAAAGCCAAGGCUAAUGGCUUCGCAAGUUCAGGGUAUGAAAAAGUCAUUUAGUAAGCGUUUGCGUUAGAAUUUCUGUUUCAUUGGUAUGUGCUUUUGCACAUUCCUGAUACUGUUCUAUUAUUGUUUACCUGUAAUGUAAUUAAAAUAAGAAACACUAGCCUACACUCAAUGCACCUAGGGCGUCGCAAAGACCUCUGUAAACAUUAAGCAUGCAUUAAGACAACCUAUUUUUGUAACUUACUAAGUAUUUUUAACUGUAUCUAAAAGCUGAGAAAGCCUCAGAUGGAAGCAGUCUGAAGUAAUUGAAUAAAACCUGGUUUUUUAGUUUUUAUUUUUACAAGUCUCUCUCAGUUGGUUUUUAACUCAGGAAAAGGGCGGACCGAAGUGGGAUUCCUCUAGUGCAAACAAGUCCUCAUAUAUUCAGCAGCUAUCAGUUUU
Long non-coding RNA from Hemicordylus capensis (graceful crag lizard), 3534 nucleotides. RefSeq lists it as uncharacterized. The record is from RefSeq and is a predicted model, not a curated record. The transcript is spliced from 3 exons. NCBI's taxonomy places the organism in Eukaryota, Metazoa, Chordata, Lepidosauria, Squamata, Cordylidae.